CAUUUUAUUUAAUUCGUUUUCUGCAUCACCAUUUUAUUUAAUUCGUUUUCGCCAGUGAAUGUUAAAUUAAAUGUGCAUUGCCGUCUGAUUAAAUAAUUAACAAAGGAAAUAAAACACCCCAGGAAGUAUGAAAUUGCCGAGCUGCGGAGCCAUCUUCGAAUCCAUGCUGAUCCGAACUUUUGACGACUUUAACGUACGUCCACACAACACCGUAUUUGUUUAGGACUUUCAAAAGAACUAUCUGGUCCAACAUGUUUGUAAGUGGGACGUAUUCCGGUUGCAUCAAAUAGUAGAUGGAGAAGAACUAAGUUACUCCGCUUCAGUGAUGAAGAAUGAGGAGGAACCUUUUGAAGGGAUCGUCCGUACAGAACACAUGUGGACUGUGUAGCCAGAAUUUUUCCCGGAUAAAAAUCAUGGAUCACGCUAAAGAUCAUCAAAAAUUGGAAGAACUGUUUGCCUGUCGACAAUGCUCACGAGGGCUUCCCAGCACAGCUUGUCCACCAUAUGUAAAUACGCCGGAAUUAGACCAUGUGACCGUUCAUUCAUCCAGUCAAAUUUAGUCAUAUAAGCCAGAUAACAGACAAAUACGAUAAACAAAACAAGUAAACCAAAUAAUACGAACAAAAUAAAUGAGACAAACAAGACACAUAAUUAAGUUUUCCUCGGUGUUUGCCCUAUUAAUCUUACUUAUGUGUCUUGUUUGUCUCAUUUAUUUUGUUCGUCUUAUUUGGUUUACUUAUAAGGUAUUUUAAAGUAUGAAACGAACAUUUAAUUAGAAUUUAUUAUUGCAAAUUUUGCGCCGUGUUCGACUCCCAUGCAAAAAAUAUUGUCCCACCAAAAUAUGUUCCCACCAGUUUCUCCAUAUAUGGAUGACGUCUCCACUGCAAGAAAGAGCUUUUUAGGGUGUGUGAAAGGGUGCAAGAAUGAUGUUUUGGAUUGUGCUUUCGCUAAUUUCUAUACAAUUAGACGUGUGAGCAUUUGUUUUGGUACUUCGAUAAAUUUGCACGAUAGUCUAUUCUUCGGUGAGAAAAGCAAUAUUUAAAAGCAUUAAAUAAAAAGAAAAAAUGGUUCGAAUUGCUUCUAAAAAUAAUAAACAUCCGAAAAAUAAAUAAAAAUGAAAAGAAGAAGAAUCAAGGUACCCAUAUCUCCGUCAUAUCUAGCAAAAAUCUAGAAGAAUGGUAGCCAUGUCUAGUCCAUGAUAUCUCUGCGUUAUCUAAGAGAAUCUAUCUUUCAAAUUGCUAUCGGCUCAAACGCUCGCUCGGAAAUUUGUUCUAGACAUCUCCGCGAUAUCUCUGAGACAAAAAGUUGAGUCUCCUAGAUAUUUUUCUUCGAUGUCUAGAACCUGUCACACCUCAAAUCCGCCUCAAAUGCAACAACCGUUUAAACCGGUGUCUACCUUGAGUUUUAGACGAGCAAACCGUUUGAACCGAA
Molecule: long non-coding RNA, 1431 nt
Organism: Armigeres subalbatus
Lineage: Eukaryota; Metazoa; Arthropoda; Insecta; Diptera; Culicidae
Exons: 3
Source: RefSeq, a predicted model, not a curated record